CCCAUAGCUCAGUGGCAGACCACCUGCUUUGCUUGCAGAAGGUCCCAGGUUCAUUCCCCUGAUGGAAAGA
Non-coding RNA from Podarcis lilfordi (Lilford's wall lizard), 70 nucleotides. Lineage: Eukaryota; Metazoa; Chordata; Lepidosauria; Squamata; Lacertidae. The record is from the annotation of a GenBank genome assembly.